AUUGAACGCUGGCAGCAGGCUUAACACAUGCAAGUCGAGCGGGGUGAUGGUGCUUGCACUAUCACUUAGCGGCGGACGGGUGAGUAAUGCUUAGGAAUCUGCCUAUUAGUGGGGGACAACAUCUCGACAGGGAUGCUAAUACCGCAUACGUCCUACGGGGGAAAGCAGGGGAUCACUUGUGACCUUGCGCUAAUAGAUGAGCCUAAGUCGGAUUAGCUAGUUGGCGGGGUAAAGGCCUACCAAGGCGACGAUCUGUAGCGGGUCUGAGAGGAUGAUCCGUCACACUGGGACUGAGACACGGCCCAGACUCCUACGGGAGGCAGCAGUGGGGAAUAUUGGACAAUGGGGGGAACCCUGAUCCAGCCAUGCCGCGUGUGUGAAGAAGGCCUUAUGGUUGUAAAGCACUUUAAGCGAGGAGGAGGCUCUUUUGGUUAAUACCCAGAAUGAGUGGACGUUACUCACAGAAUAAGCACCGGCUAACUCUGUGCCAGCAGCCGCCGUAA
RNAcentral lists this ribosomal RNA (503 nucleotides) under uncultured bacterium. Its description in RNAcentral is "partial 16S ribosomal RNA". It matches the Rfam family "Bacterial small subunit ribosomal RNA", at positions 30 to 523 of the family's 1533-position model. The record is from RNAcentral.